GGAGAAUUGGUGAUGGGAUAAGAGUGGGUGACAGACCCACGUGAGUGACCCACCGCCACCACCACCCUCUUCUCCCUCCUGUAUUAGGGUGGAUUUCUUGGUUGGCUUCAUAUCAACGCUAACAGCCAAAAUAACCCAACCUCACAAACAAUACAAAACCAACAUACCCACAAAUAAGAUAACACCAUCCUCGCAAAAAAGUGCAACAAAAAUUAAAGUUAAGAGGUUACUAUCAUUAACUCAUUUGACAAAGUGAACCACUUUCUUGGAUGGUUGCCCACUUCUCUAAUGCUAGUGGUUCUCUCUCUUCCCCCCUUUGGUUCCCCACUACUCUUUCCCUUUCUUUUUCCUCUCUAAUGCUAGUGGUUUCAAUCUCUUUCUCUAUUGCCUUCUUCUCUCAUGCUGUACACUUGUUAGCUGCUAAACACUGGUAAAUUCUUUUGUUUAGUAUGGACAGAGAUGGAUAAAGAAACAAACCAAGAAAGCCCUUCUCUCCUCUCUAACAAUAAUUCUAUCAAAGAAGAACCUUCAAGAAAACAACUUCCUGCUACUGGUAGUAGUGGUUUUGCUGCUGCUGGUGGAGAUAGACUCAAACGAGAUGAAUGGAGCGAAGGAGCUGUUUCUAGCUUGCUUGAGGCCUAUGAGAGUAAGUGGGUACUUAGAAACCGAGCUAAACUCAAAGGACAUGACUGGGAAGACGUUGCUCGUUAUGUUUCAUCGCGUGCAAAUUAUACCAAGUCACCCAAGACUCAAACGCAGUGUAAGAAUAAGAUUGAGUCAAUGAAGAAGAGGUAUAGAUCAGAAUCCGCCACUGCAGAUGCUUCCUCUUGGCCCUUAUACCCACGUCUUGAUCUUCUGUUACGUGGGAGUGCUGCUGCCACAGCUGCAGCGGCGGCGGCAGCAGUACCACCACCACAGCCACCACCACAACAACAACCAUCGCCUCUUCAAGUAUCCAAUCAUUCCCCUCCUUUGAUGUUGUUGGAAACAUCCCAUCUACUGUUGCCACAGCCAAAUCCACAGCCUCCGGCUCCUCAGCCUCCUGCUCCUCCUCCUCCUCCUCCACCUCCAGCUAUUGUGACUGCACAGAACUCACAUGGGUCCAAUGGUGUUGACAGGGGGGCCAAGUCAGGGUCUUUAUGUUGCUCCAACUGCAGUUACUCAUCCUCAAAAGUCACCAUUCUCCAAAGAAACCCAAGUGACAAUGUCGUGCCUUUUGCUUCGGAUGUUAUGAGUGCCUCUAGGCCCUUGCGGUCUCGUGUGAGAGCCGAGUAUCGGCAUGCUUUUGAGGAAGGAUCUCACAAUUCCAUAGCUCUCUAUCUCUCCCUUCUGUUCGGGAUCCGCUGAAGCCAAUAUUUCCAUUUUCUACUUUGUAAAUGAAAGAAUGGGAGGACAUGCAAGACUCUAAAACUUUAAUGAGAAUUUUGCAAAAAUUCAAACAAAGGUAACUCUUCUACAAAUCGAGAAAAAAAUCAAUGUCUAUAUUGAGGUUUAGAUGUGGCAAACUUGGGUUUCUUGAAGAAGAUGGGAACUCUAAGGUCUGUAUGCGGCAGUCUUCUUAGCCGCUAAUCCCAAGGCUUUGCUGGAGAUUUCACUGUAUUCUCUUCUUUUCUUUUAGGCCUACCAUCUUUUUCUACAUGUUGUGGUAGUAACCUAGAGAUGAUGAAUGUGAUGUAUUUUGAAUCUUACAGAUCUAGAAGGGUCAACUUUUAGAUAUGUAGUUCCAUGUGCCUGUAGGAGUUUUUCUCGGACCUAUAUCCAUAGAGUUUGUGGGUUGUUUUGGUUCUUUUUCUUUUGAGGUUCAGUGUGCUUCCUUAUGUCUUUUGACUACUGUUUAGAGACUUUUCUUUCCGCUGUGGAGGAUAUGUUUUUUGAUCUACCAGUGAUUCUAAUGGAAGGAGGCAGCAAUUGAUGUUCUGCAAUUGGGUCUUGGCUCUAGACCUGAGGGUCUUUAUGAGGUUCUAUUAGAUUUAGGGUUAUGAUUAGACUUUUCUUUUAAUUUGUUUAUGGGCCUUAGAUUCUACCUUUCUUCUUCUUGAUGAAAUACAAUCUUUAAAAAAAAAUAUUUAAUCUUGAAAUUUGUUAAAAUUAAUUGAUUGAUCUCAUUUUUUUAAAAAAUCCAAUUAGUUAAUACCUCACACUUGAGUUUGUUAAUCCUAAUUUUCUGGUAGUCAACGCAAAUAAGGGAGGUCAAAUGAGGGAUAGGCAAAUUUUAUUACAAAACUAUCUUCAAAACCCAUUUAAUCCCUAAUUUAAUUCGAUUUAGAUAUUAUUUGCCUCUGUCGUGCUCGAGGCUUCUUAAUGCAUUUAACAUCUGGUACAUGCCGCCUCCAACAACUGUGUAUUACCAAUGGCUGAUCGUUUACCGCCACACUAAGUUCAGGUGCAUCUGCAUCCCCUUUAUGGUCCUGGCGUCAAGGGUCAACAGAAGGGCCCUUUAGCCUUUGAAGUGCAAGCAGUAGUCUCCUUUUUCCCCAUUGAUAGUGGGCUUCUUGCACUUGCAGGCUUAUCUCUAAUUGGUUCCCACAUCAUUACCGCCCCUCUUUUUUCAUCUUCAACCUAGUUCUUGUCCACCUGCUUUUGUCCUUGUGCUUCCGGUGGUGGCUUUUCUAGCUUAUGGGACUCACAAGAGUGGCGAUCAAUAGAGGGGUGAGAAUGAGGGGGAGAUCCCAUAUUGCUAAGCAUCGUCAUGGAAUGAAAUGUCGUGGCUAUCUUCUCUUCAUCAUGAGAUUACCAUGAUGGGCUCUGAGCACAGUAGAUGGGACGGCAUGGAGAGCUUGUGAGAGAGGGUAGUGCGAGACUGGCGACGACAAAGUUCAUCUUGGCAUGCAUUUUGCAGGUAACCGAAAAUUAGAGUUAAUUGAAUAAAAGGAGUUUGGGAUUAACGCAGUUAAUUGUGAGAUCACGAGCAACACUUUCGCACAUUCACAUUCACGGACAGCCGCCGGCCCAUCCCGAUACCCCGUCCCUUGGCUUACGUCCUUCGUCCUCCGCCGCUGCUCCUCAAUCAUUCCGCUGCUUCUUCUCCUCUGUCACAUUGCUGCUCCUCCAUCGCCGAUGCUUCUGUCUUCCAAAGUCACGACGCAGGGACUAAAGGAAACCAUCGUACCUUGUGAUUUGGAGUUGGAAGAUUAUGCUUUUCAGUUUCUUAUUAUUGUAAUUUGUGAUCACAUUUUCAAUCUGUGGUUGUUCAAUUGUUUGUUAGACAUUAAAGUAUUUAUGUCUUUGAGCUUCUUUUCAUUGCAAUUUUAUUUAUGUUCACUAAUUAUUAUUAUGUUGAUUAACUUGUAUGGAUUGUGUUUGUUUCAAUUUUAACUUUAUUUAUGAUUUAUUUCAUGUACUUAUUUUUAUCUAUUU
This is an RNA transcript of Manihot esculenta (cassava), 3357 nucleotides long. It is a transcript of the gene named trihelix transcription factor ASIL2, with no coding region annotated. NCBI's taxonomy places the organism in Eukaryota, Viridiplantae, Streptophyta, Magnoliopsida, Malpighiales, Euphorbiaceae. The transcript has 6 exons. The record is from RefSeq and is a predicted model, not a curated record.